RNAcentral lists this long non-coding RNA (283 nucleotides) under Amazona collaria (yellow-billed parrot). Its description in RNAcentral is "lncRNA (ENSACOG00000010183.1)". The record is from RNAcentral. Lineage: Eukaryota; Metazoa; Chordata; Aves; Psittaciformes; Psittacidae.
GUGGCUGAGGUGCAGCAUCUGGAGCUCUCCUGCCUUCACCAUGGUGUCACCCAAGUGCUCGGCUGUGUCCCAUGGGAAGGUGCAGCCGCUGGGCGGGCGGGAGCGGCGGCUGCGGAUGGACAACAGGACUGUGAGCAGCCUUUGUGGUGGUCUCCACACUGUGACCCAUUGGACCUUGUCUAUCGGCAGCCACAGCCUUCGUAAAGCACUUCCACCGCAGCACAUCUCCAAACCAGGGAGAGGAAAGUGCUUGCUCUUGAUGAACAUUCCCGUUUGAACCCAA